UUUUAAAUUCAAUAUUUUAUUUGAAAAUUCAUUGGAAAAAUUCAGAAUUUCUGAAGUGAUUUUACUUGGGAAGUUUCACUUGAAAGAAAUGUUACAAGUAAAAACUUUCUGAAAAAAUUCGGAAUUACUGAAAUGAUUUUACUUGGGAAGAAGUGAAAUACGAAGUGACUUCGAAAAAGUUACAUUUGCAUUUUAACUCGUUAAAAAGCGAACAUCCCAGCAUUCUUUAUGGAGCGUCACUUGUUCUUUACUCGUACAAGCUAACACUUUACUCCGGAUUCACAAGUGAAACAUUUUUUUCGGAACUGAUUAGGCUCAAACUAAUGCAAGGCAAACUUGCGAUGUAAUUAGUGUCUCUCUGUGUCUCAUGGGAAUUUUUUUCGGAACUGAAGGGCAUGUUCAGAAAUCACUCAAACAGAACGCGUAUUUCUUAUGGACGUAUACGAAGCUAAAUAUUUGAUUAUAUAUGUAGCUCGGUGCAAUGUUGGAGAUAUACCUAAAUACUUUUAAACAGUA
Long non-coding RNA from Drosophila biarmipes, 516 nucleotides. RefSeq lists it as uncharacterized. The record is from RefSeq and is a predicted model, not a curated record. NCBI's taxonomy places the organism in Eukaryota, Metazoa, Arthropoda, Insecta, Diptera, Drosophilidae. The transcript has 3 exons.